CGCGCGUGCUGUGAGUGCGUGCGUGCGUGCGCGCGCGCGCGCGUGUGUGUUGAGGAGCACAUGGACGACAGAGGACGAGAUUUUAGCAGCGCGGCUAAUUAAAGCAGCUCAUCGCCUGAGGGGGGAAAAAAAGACAUCUCAGGACUAAAUUUAACACCGGGAACGCAGACACAGGCUUGUGUUUUAUAUCAGACGGGCAAAAAAACAAGAAAAAAAGCAUAACGGCGCCAUUGGCGUUUCUGGAACUUCUGCUUCUGGCUGACGUCCAAGGUGUAAAUCCUGCUUCCUUGUGCUAACGGUUCAGCGACGAUCCAGGACUCUCGAGGACGAAACGGAGCGGUAGGAGCUCUCUACCCUCGGGAGAAGGAUGAGCUCUUCAUGCUGAUCCAUCUGGACAGAGCAAGCACGCCAUCAGUGGCAGACUAGAGAGGUCACGAGGGCUGUGCUAAUCAGCCAUUUCUUCUGGCUGCGCUUUGAAAACCACACCUGUGGUGGAAAGACAUGAUGGAAGUACCAUAUGUAGAAGAUGGCGGGAAGCACACCGUAUAAAGCUGUCGGUGACCCAUCACCCGUACGGAGAGGUCGUCCGCUCAGACACAACGCCGUUAUCAUUCGCCGUAAUCUUCAUAUGUUUCUGAAGAUACGAGACCCAUGUGGAAGUGUGCGUAGUACGCCACUUCCUGCAUGUGACUGUUAAGGUGAGGACAUCGUACAGUAUUCAUAUCCGGAUAGGUUUUCAAGCUGCUCGCUAUUUGUGUGGACUCUCCAAGGGCCGUAUUCAGAUUGGCGUCAAGUGCACUUCGUGGGGAUUUAAUACGAACGCCGUGCACGUUUGGUAUUCAGGUAAACGUCCACGAGACGUUCUGCUCAUCUCAAGGACUUUAUGGAUAAAACGAAGACCCGGUGCGAGCUGUACGAGUAGCAAAUGGAUGUUUGGUCAGCUUAUCGUUCAGUGCAGGAGUUGAAUGCGUGAUGGAAUACCUCGGAUUCCACGCACACCGUAUAGUUUUAUGCUAUUAUUAAAAAGUAAAUAAACGAUGUGAAUAGUGAUGAGGAGGUGUGCUGGAUGAAGUGCUACGCUGUAAGCUGCUGAAUAAUGAGGGUGGAAGCCAUGAUGUUAAAAUUAACCCAAAUGUUGAGUGAUUAAUGAGAUGAGUAGAGUUAGGACUUUACCAUUAGGUAAAGGUCGGCGAUUGCCUUGGGCCGUGAGCUACCAAGGGCCCCCAAAACGCUGCCUAAACUUAUGCUUAAGAAAGGUGUGGGUGUUUCCGUUUCUUUUACUUUUCAUUAAUUGUGUUUUUGUAAAAAUGCGUACGCUAAAAAGCCGUCCGAAUGCGUAAUUGACGAGUGUCUCGGGCCCCCCCUCAGCACCCACUACAGUUUUACUGCGGAAAUGAUUCGGGGAGAAAGGAGCCAACUCGUGCGAACGCCGGCGACGUGACGUGGAGUGUACAGACGGAACGAAAACGAAGCGGAGAGAAAGCGUGAGGACAGGGAAAAGGUUUCUAUCAAAGCCUGUGACGUGUUUUAGAUGAAGAGAUUUCGCCUUUGGUGUAAAGGCAAGUUGCAGUUCUGCAGGCGCUGACGACUCUCGCAUUCCAGCCAAAGAACAGGGAGACCGGGACAGGCUGCAGGGUUCUCCCUCU
This is a long non-coding RNA of Ictalurus punctatus (channel catfish), 1646 nucleotides long. Lineage: Eukaryota; Metazoa; Chordata; Actinopteri; Siluriformes; Ictaluridae. The record is from Ensembl.